RNAcentral lists this ribosomal RNA (273 nucleotides) under uncultured bacterium. RNAcentral describes it as "partial 16S ribosomal RNA". It matches the Rfam family "Bacterial small subunit ribosomal RNA", at positions 524 to 796 of the family's 1533-position model. The record is from RNAcentral.
GACAGAGGUUGCAAACGUUGUUCGGAAUUACUGGGCAUAAAGCGCACGUAGGCCGUCCGCUAAGUCAGGCGUGAAAUCCCCCGGCUCAACCGGGGAAUUGCGCCUGAUACUGGUGGACUCGAGGUCGGUAGGGGUGAGCGGAACUCCAGGUGGAGCGGUGAAAUGCGUAGAUAUCUGGAGGAACACCGGUGGCGAAAGCGGCUCACUGGACCGAAUCUGACGCUGAGGUGCGAAAGCUAGGGUAGCAAACGGGAUUAGAAACCCCCGUAGUCC